This 23-nucleotide non-coding RNA is filed under the name Cricetulus griseus (Chinese hamster). The record is from RNAcentral. Lineage: Eukaryota; Metazoa; Chordata; Mammalia; Rodentia; Cricetidae.
UACAGCUCAGCGUCUCCUGGAUG